Molecule: ribosomal RNA, 497 nt
Filed under: uncultured bacterium
Lineage: Bacteria
Description: partial 16S ribosomal RNA
Rfam family: Bacterial small subunit ribosomal RNA
Source: RNAcentral
GAUGAACGCUGGCGGCGUGCCUAAUACAUGCAAGUCGAGCGAACGGACGAGAAGCUUGCUUCUCUGAUGUUAGCGGCGGACGGGUGAGUAACACGUGGAUAACCUACCUAUAAGCCUGGGAUAACUUCGGGAAACCGGAGCUAAUACCGGAUGAUAUUUUGAACCGCAUGGUUCAAAAGUGAAAGACGGUCUUGCUGUCACUUAUAGAUGGAUCCGCGCUGCAUUAGCUAGUUGGUAAGGUAACGGCUUACCAAGGCAACGAUGCAUAGCCGACCUGAGAGGGUGAUCGGCCACACUGGAACUGAGACACGGUCCAGACUCCUACGGGAGGCAGCAGUAGGGAAUCUUCCGCAAUGGGCGAAAGCCUGACGGAGCAACGCCGCGUGAGUGAUGAAGGUCUUCGGAUCGUAAAACUCUGUUAUUAGGGAAGAACAUAUGUGUAAGUAACUGUGCACAUCUUGACGGUACCUAAUCAGAAAGCCACGGCUAACUACGUG